RNAcentral lists this small nuclear RNA (103 nucleotides) under Jaculus jaculus (lesser Egyptian jerboa). The record is from RNAcentral. Lineage: Eukaryota; Metazoa; Chordata; Mammalia; Rodentia; Dipodidae.
GUGUUCUCUUCAGCAGCACAUGUACUAAUAUUGGAACAAUACAGAGAAGAUUCGCAUGGCCCCUGCGCAAGGAUGACAAGUGCAUGCACUGCACCUUCUCCAU